AAGCUGGGCACACUUCUCUUCCUGAGGGAGAAUGAAUGAAAGAAAGAGUAAUAAAAAAAAUACGCAGUAAAAGCUGGCGAUAGUAACGCCAUGAUACGAGCCUUAAGGACACUCAGUCAUUAGGGUCCCUGCAAAUGGCUACAGCA
This 146-nucleotide small nucleolar RNA is filed under the name Castor canadensis (American beaver). RNAcentral's name for it is "Small nucleolar RNA SNORA33 (ENSCCNG00000004538.1)". The record is from RNAcentral. Lineage: Eukaryota; Metazoa; Chordata; Mammalia; Rodentia; Castoridae.